GUGCCAGCAGCCGCGGUAAUACGUAGGGGGCGAGCGUUGUCCGGAAUCAUUGGGCGUAAAGCGCGCGUAGGCGGCCCGGUAAGUCCGCUGUGAAAGUCCAGGGCUCAACCCUGGGAUGCCGGUGGAUACUGUCGGGCUAGAGUCCGGAAGAGGCGAGUGGAAUUCCUGGUGUAGCGGUGGAAUGCGCAGAUAUCAGGAGGAACACCUAUAGCGAAGGCAGCUCGCUGGGACGGAACUGACGCUAAGGCGCGAAAGCGUGGGGAGCGAACAGGAUUAGAUACCCCCGUAGUCC
Molecule: ribosomal RNA, 292 nt
Filed under: uncultured bacterium
Lineage: Bacteria
Description: partial 16S ribosomal RNA
Rfam family: Bacterial small subunit ribosomal RNA
Source: RNAcentral